This 1050-nucleotide long non-coding RNA is filed under the name Linum usitatissimum (flax). Its description in RNAcentral is "long non-coding RNA (LUSI_LNC004647)". Lineage: Eukaryota; Viridiplantae; Streptophyta; Magnoliopsida; Malpighiales; Linaceae. The record is from RNAcentral.
AGGAACGUCCUUGACUGCAGGGACAUCUGGCCAUUUCGGAUCUCAUGGGUCCGAUUCGAGCUCGAGCAGUAGUAGUACUACUACCGCAGCUGCAUCAACUUCUUCAGCCUAUAGUUCAGUCGCAAAAAGACCCGACCCGCAUGGGAAACGGCCAAUGUCUAGCUGAAACGUUGGUAAUGUUAGAUUAGCUGACUUGUGGUACACGGUUAGAGGAAGGGUAAAUUAGGUAGAUCAAAUUUCUUCUUUUGAUUACCAGAUUGUAUAGUACACACAGUUCUGAAUCAAUUCUUUGAUAAGUUGUGUAGAAAGGAGAAAUCUUGUUCCAAAUAGCUGAAUGAACGGAAAGUGGGAGUUGGCAAGAGCGGUUAAUAACUGAUCAUAAUCAAUAGGUUAAUUAGAAUUGUAUAAAAACAUAGGUUAACUGAUUAAUCGACCAACCUACAAGCAGAUUAUCUGUUAAAUAACUACCAUUUUGGUCAUCAAUUUAUUGGGUUUGCGACAACUUGAUCAUAUUACCAACCAUUUCAACCAUAACAACAAGGUCAAUCAAUCAAUUCUCCGUCCAAAAUCUCUUUUAAGGUGAUAGAUCCCCAUGUCGUCAAUUCAAUAUUUAUGUCCACGUCACGUUACACCUUUCUUAAUAGAAAUAUCCACGUCACACUUUACCAUGUCAACUAUUCUAUCCUAAACCCAACCUAUUUUAAUCGGUUUGAAUUGGCUUGUUUCAAAUCAGUCAGGUUAAGUUAGAUUGGUUGAUGUGGAUAGAAAUGAUGAAUUUUCACAGUGAAACGUCGACUUAAUGAAAAAAUUGGAUGGAAGUGUAAGCAAAUAACCAUGUUGUUAGAAUUAAGAUAGUUUAGUGGUAUGUAGGUUGCAUUGCUAAACAUUGAGGAGCAUAUUGUCUGAACUCAAUAGAUUGAUGAUCACAACGGAUAGAAAUUGAAGAGGGAAUAUUUUUUAAAAAUGCCAUUUCCAGGUUCCGCCACGUGUCUCGGAGCUAUCUGUCUGUUUUUAUUUUUCUGCCUUCACCUUUGUUUUCUGGAUCUAAUU